Rhineura floridana is the source of this 3250-nucleotide long non-coding RNA. RefSeq lists it as uncharacterized. The transcript has 4 exons. Lineage: Eukaryota; Metazoa; Chordata; Lepidosauria; Squamata; Rhineuridae. The record is from RefSeq and is a predicted model, not a curated record.
GGCUCAAACAGGAAAGGAUGUAUUUGGAAUCCAUUGGGACAAGAGCAGCAAAAUGUGUUUUGUUUCUGAAGCGAAAAUUGGGAACUGGCAAGACUAGGAGCAGACCCUUUUGUCACCUUGGACUGUCAGGUUUUCUGGAAGGGCUGGCACUGAAGGGAUAAAUCCAACUGGAAAGGAAAAUGAGAUUGGAUUGGCACAUGGUCACUCUUGGGCCUUGCAAGAACUUUAAAGAUCAUGAGUUUAUUCUUCAUUCCUGGGCAGUAAGUAAUUAUUCAUAAUGAGGAUUUAGGACCUUGAAAAUCUUGCAAACUGUAUUAUCUAAAUAAGUUAGUCAUCUCCAUGAACUUCAAUGGGUCUACUCUGAGUCGGACAAGCAUUGAAUACCACCCCAUGACAUAUUGUGAAUGUAAAUCAAUGAUUGAUUUCAAAGUCUUUCAACUGAAAGCUUUUGGUCCAGCUACAGGGUUGACACUUGUUGCUUUUGUAUAAUUAAACAAAUUUACAAGCCUAAUACAUUUUACAAAUUAGCUAUAGAGCAAGCCAGCCUGGACAAAAUUGAUGGUACAAGAGAGUCUAAGCCUCUUUAGACUGGUAUUUUAUUGCAGGUGUAUUCUGCAACAUAUUCUUGACAUUAUAAUAGUACAUUAGUGGUGGAUUUAUUCUGCUCCAGUUUGUUCUUCCAUGCUUCCCCAGUGACACUACAUUAUUGCUGCCUGGAGGAGCUAUAGCACAACAAAAGCAGGACAAAAAUAAACCAGAACAUUUGUGGUAUAAAAAGUCAUGGUACUGAAGCAGGAACUUACGAAAUGUGCACAGAUUGGAAAUGAAGCAGUUUGACUGCCCCAAAACCUUUGCAGGUACAAACAGUAUUGAAAGCAGGAUGACAUUUGACCGCCACAAUAACAUCCUGAGCACAAAUAUCAUGAAUGCACAAGAAAAAAGAUGUCUUAAGUACAAAGCAUGAAAGUUUAUCAGUAAGAAGGUACCAGCUGCUUUUUUAUUUAUCCAUUACCAAAAGGCUUUGCUAGUGCCACUCUUUCAAAAACAAAUCCUCUGGUGUACUUUAAUGGAUAUAGACUUUUUGCAUCAUCUCAUUGAUUUUUCUGAAUUAAAUAAAUCUGUAAGAAUGUGAAGGAACAGUCAUGGAAGUAACCCAUUUUCUUUAGGAAAGAACAUUAAAACUGAGUUGGAUUUUUUAUUGUUACAUUUUUAACCUUUACAAGUGGACAGUUUGCUUGUCUAGCAAAAAUUGGUCAAAUAAAAUUUAUCUUCCUUUGUACUUUACCUUCAGGAAAUGGCAAAUGCUGGUGUAAUGACAAGUAAGAGAGACUAUCAAAUGGUUUGGGGAAGGAGGAAGGGGGUAGAGAUUUGCUGUCUUUAAAAUGCCAGGAUAUUAUAUAUGUCAUUAUGUCUUUCUAUUUCUCGGUACUGCAGAUAUCAAAUAUCUGAAUCUCUCUCCCCCCCCCUUGCUGGAAAAGUAUAAUUUUAUGAAUAUCGGCAUCUGGCAAACUUUCCUCGAAACUGCAGGCACAAAUGUAGCUUUAGUAUCCCACAAACAAUUUAGUCAAUGUGACCUGGUUUUAUAACAUCUGAAAGUUGUUUAUCCCAAACUAAGAUUAGAUGCAUAGUUCUUCAUUUCAGAGAGGGCCUAUAAGCAUAGACAGGUCCAUGUUGUUCCUUAAAGUAACCCAGCUUGCUCCGAAUAGCUGGGAUUAGGUAACUGAUUGGGCCUUUCAGGUCAGAAGAUAAUGGGCUGGAUCCAGAAUAGGUUUAUCAUUCUUUAGGCCCAUUGAAACUUAUGGGACAAGUAAGUCAUGACUAGGGAUGGAUGAAUCUAAACCAGGCCAUCCUGUCCUGUUUUGGUCUGCAGAUGUCUGCAAAUGCCUGCCCUGUUCCUGUGCAGAUUUGUUUAGGAUAAUUCUGGGAAAAUCCUAAAAAAUCUCCACACAUAAGACAAGGCAACCCUCCACCACCCCCCAACAAAUUAAAGAAUUCUUAUGAGGUAUAGUGAGAGGUGUUCUGUAUUUGUUUCCCUUGCUUUUAUCAGCGUAAACUGCUUGGAACAGCUUAAAAGCACGGCCCCUCCAUCACUUGUAAAAAUGAUUUCAAAAACAGUGCAAGAAGUGGCUGCAUGUUGCUUCCUGUGUAAUUCUGUGCACAAAGUGCCAUUAUACAUACAACAAAAUGGCUGCCUCCUAUUCUACUGCUGGUAUUGAUUGCAAUGUACUAAGAUAAGAACAAAGAAACUAGCUGGGAAUUCUGAUGUACUUGUCUAUGCAGAUGUAAUUGGCAGAUACCCAAAAGGUGAUGACUUAUCUUUAAGUUUCGUUUUACUAAACUGCUUGCUUGUAACUUUUUAUUGUCAUAUAGCAUCAUUGAGAUAAGAUAUAAAACAAGGCCUGUUCAGGAAUAUGGCAGGCAGCUCACUUUAAGCAUAAGCGGUGAGUGUGUCUCUAUUCUGCAGAAUAAAACUUGGGUAACCCUCGUCUAACGUCUCGUUCUUGGUGGUAAAUCAGAGUAAGCCUACCAGGGAAAUGAACAGCAUUUUUGCAACACUGGGAGCAGCCAUUUCUUGUACUACAAUGAUGGACACUUCCUACAUCAUUUUAAAAAGCAUUUCUACUCUGCAUGGUGGAGGCGCCAUGUGUUGAAGCCACUCCUAGCAACUUUACACGAUUAAAGCAAGCAAGCAAACAAACAGAAUAGUCCUCAGUACACCUUGUAAGUACAAUGGUCGAACCAGCCGUUAGAAAGUUUCAUAGUUCUGAAUAUUAAACUAUAACAUAUUAUAUAUUAUAAACUAUAUUAUAUUAUAAACUCAUAUUAAACUAAUAUUCAACUAUGUUCCAUCUGAGGACUGGUUGGACAGGAUGAGAGAGGUGGUGGUAGUUCACUGUAAAAUCUAGGCUGGAUUGAAAUUGUAUAUCGUUCCUAGAAUUAAGUCUCAUAGAUUUCAAUAGAACUAAAUAAUGUCUAAAUUUAAUCUCUAUCUAUUUGUGUAGGCUUGAGCGCCAGAAUCUCUCCCUUUAGAAAUUAAGUAGUGGCCACUGGUAGGAUUUUCAGUUGAAACUCUCUGGCUUUGUACUAGUUGCUUUUCUCAAAUUUAUUCUCUCCACCUGCUAAACAAGAAUACGUAUUUGAACAAGCAACUUGCGAUUGAUUUGUUGUUGCUGACACAAUGAAUAAAUCUGAAGGAGGGUGAAAAUUGCCUGGUAAGAAUGAUUCAAAUAUCACCUGUCUUCUUGGGUGA